This 468-nucleotide ribosomal RNA is filed under the name uncultured bacterium. RNAcentral's name for it is "partial 16S ribosomal RNA". It matches the Rfam family "Bacterial small subunit ribosomal RNA", at positions 28 to 507 of the family's 1533-position model. The record is from RNAcentral.
GACGAACGCUGGCGGCGUGCUUAACACAUGCAAGUCGAACGGAAAGGCCCUGCUUUUGUGGGGUGCUCGAGUGGCGAACGGGUGCGUAACACGUGAGUAACCUGCCCUUGACUUUGGGAUAACUUCAGGAAACUGGGGCUAAUACCGGAUAGGAGCUCCUGCUGCAUGGUGGGGGUUGGAAAGUUUCGGCGGUUGGGGAUGGACUCGCGGCUUAUCAGCUUGUUGGUGGGGUAGUGGCUUACCAAGGCUUUGACGGGUAGCCGGCCUGAGAGGGUGACCGGCCACAUUGGGACUGAGGUACGGCCCAGACUCCUACGGGAGGCAGCAGUGGGGAAUAUUGCACAAUGAGCGGAAGCCUGAUGCAGCAACGCCGCGUGCGGGAUGACGGCCUUCGGGUUGUAAACCGCUUUCGCCUGUGACGAAGCGUGAGUGACGGUAAUGGGUAAAGAAGCACCGGCUAACUACGUG